Hypanus sabinus (Atlantic stingray) is the source of this 2937-nucleotide long non-coding RNA. RefSeq lists it as uncharacterized. The record is from RefSeq and is a predicted model, not a curated record. NCBI's taxonomy places the organism in Eukaryota, Metazoa, Chordata, Chondrichthyes, Myliobatiformes, Dasyatidae. The transcript is spliced from 3 exons.
ACAACAGAGAGAUGGACAACAUUGGGUUACACAAUGCUGGAGGAACUUACGGGUGGAGGGUUAAAGUUUUGUUUUAGAUUAAAGAUAGAGGGGAGAUGGCCAGCAUAAAGAUUAGAUUAGCAUUAGACUGACGGUGGGAGGGAGAUGGCCAGUAUAAAGAUUAGAUUAGUAUUGGACCAGCGGUGGGAGGGAGGUGGCCAGCAUAAAGAUUAGAUUAGUUUUGGACCAACGGUGGGAGGGAGGUGGCCAGUAUAAAGAUUAGAUUAGUUUUGGAUUGACGGUGGGAGGGAGCUGGCCAGCAUAAAGAUUAGAUUAGUUUUGGACCAACGGUGGGAGGGAGGUGGCCAGUAUAAAGAUUAGAUUAGCAUGAGACUGACGGUGGGAGGGAGAUGGCCAGCAUAAAGAUUAGAUUAGUUUUGGACCAACGGUGGGAGGGAGGUGGCCAGCAUAAAGAUUAGAUUAGCAUUAGACUGACGGUGGGAGGGAGAUGGCCAGCAUAAAGAUUAGAUUAGUUUUGGACUGACGGUGGGAGGGAGAUGGCCAGUAUAAAGAUUAGAUUAGUUUUGGACCAACGGUGGGAGGGAGGUGGCCAGCAUAAAGAUUAGAUUAGCAUUAGACUGACGGUGGGAGGGAGGUGGCCAGCAUAAAGAUUAGAUUAGCAUUAGACUGACGGUGGGAGGGAGGUGGCCAGCAUAAAGAUUAGAUUAGCAUUAGACUGACGGUGGGAGGGAGGUGGCCAGCAUAAAGAUUAGAUUAGCAUUAGACUGACGAUGGGAGGGAGGUGGCCAGCAUAAAGAUUAGAUUAGCAUUAGACUGACGGUGGGAGGGAGGUGGCCAGCAUAAAGAUUAGAUUAGUUUUGGACUGACGGUGGGAGGAAAGUGGCCAGCAUAAAGAUUAGAUUAGCAUUAGACUGACGGUGGGAGGGAGGUGGCCAGCAUAAAGAUUAGAUUAGCAUUAGACUGACGGUGGGAGGGAGGUGGCCAGCAUAAAGAUUAGAUUAGUUUUGAACUGACGGUGGGAGGGAGAUGGCCAGCAUAAAGAUUAGAUUAGCAUUAGACUGACGGUGGGAGGGAGGUGGCCAGCAUAAAGAUUAGAUUAGCAUUAGACUCACGGUGGGAGGGAGAUGGCCAGCAUAAAGAUUAGAUUAGUUUUGGACUGACGGUGGGAGGGAGGUGGCCAGCAUAAAGAUUAGAUUAGUUUUGGACUGACGGUGGGAGGGAGGUGGCCAGCAUAAAGAUUAGAUUAGUUUUGGACUGACGGUGGGAGGGAGGUGGCCAGCAUAAAGAUUAGAUUAGCAUUAGACUGACGGUGGGAGGGAGAUGGCCAGUAUAAAGAUUAGAUUAGCAUUAGACUGACGGUGGGAGGGAGGUGGCCAGUAUAAAGAUUAGAUUAGUUUUGGACCAACGGUGGGAGGGAGAUGGCCAGCAUAAAGAUUAGAUUAGUUUUGGACCAACGGUGGGAGGGAGGUGGCCAGCAUAAAGAUUAGAUUAGUUUUGGACCAACGGUGGGAGGGAGCUGGCCAGCAUAAAGAUUAGAUUAGUUUUGGACCAACGGUGGGAGGGAAGUGGACAGCAUAAAGAUUAGAUUAGUUUUGGACCAACGGUGGGAGGGAGCUGGCCAGCAUAAAGAUUAGAUUAGUUUUGGACCAACGGUGGGAGGGAAGUGGACAGCAUAAAGAUUAGAUUAGUUUUGGACCAACGGUGGGAGGGAGGUGGCCAGUAUAAAGAUUAGAUUAGUUUUGGACCAACGGUGGGAGGGAGGUGACCAGUAUAAAGAUUAGUUUAGUUUUGGACCAACGGUGGGAGGGAGGUGGCCAGCAUAAAGAUUAGAUUAGUUUUGGACUGACGGUGGGAGGGAGAUGGCCAGCAUAAAGAUUAGAUUAGCAUUAGACUGACGGUGGGAGGGAGGUGGCCAGCAUAAAGAUUAGAUUAGCAUUAGACUCACGGUGGGAGGGAGAUGGCCAGCAUAAAGAUUAGAUUAGUUUUGGACUGACGGUGGGAGGGAGAUGGCCAGCAUAAAGAUUAGAUUAGUUUUGGACUGACGGUGGGAGGGAGGUGGCCAGCAUAAAGAUUAGAUUAGUUUUGGACUGACGGUGGGAGGGAGGUGGCCAGCAUAAAGAUUAGAUUAGCAUUAGACUGAUGGUGGGAGGGAGAUGGCCAGUAUAAAGAUUAGAUUAGCAUUAGACUGACGGUGGGAGGGAGGUGGCCAGUAUAAAGAUUAGAUUAGUUUUGGACCAACGGUGGGAGGGAGGUGGCCAGUAUAAAGAUUAGAUUAGCAUUAGACUGACGGUGGGAGGGAGGUGGCCAGUAUAAAGAUUAGAUUAGUUUUGGACCAACGGUGGGAGGGAGAUGGCCAGCAUAAAGUUUAGAUUAGUUUUGGACCAACGGUGGGAGGGAGGUGGCCAGUAUAAAGAUUAGAUUAGUUUUGGACCAACGGUGGGAGGGAGGUGGCCAGUAUAAAGAUUAGUUUAGUUUUGGACCAACGGUGGGAGGGAGGUGGCCAGCAUAAAGAUUAGAUUAGUUUUGGACCAACGGUGGGAGGGAGGUGGCCAGCAUAAAGAUUAGAUUAGCAUUAGACUGACGGUGGGAGGGAGAUGGCCAGCAUAAAGAUUAGAUUAGUUUUGGACCAACAGUGGGAGGGAGGUGGCCAGCAUAAAGAUUAGAUUAGCAUUAGACUGACGGUGGGAGGGAGGUGGCCAGCAUAAAGAUUAGAUUAGCAUUAGACUGACGGUGGGAGGGAGAUGGCCAGCAUAAAGAUUAGAUUAGCAUUAGACUGACGGUGGGAGGGAGGUGGCCAGCAUAAAGAUUAAAUUAGCAUUAGACUGACGGUGGGAGGGAGGUGGCCAGCAUAAAGAUUAGAUUAGCAUUAGACUGACGGUGGGAGGGAGGUGGCCAGUAUAAAGAUUAGAUUAGCAUUAGACUGACUGUGGGAGGGAG